Molecule: long non-coding RNA, 5343 nt
Filed under: Piliocolobus tephrosceles (Ugandan red Colobus)
Lineage: Eukaryota; Metazoa; Chordata; Mammalia; Primates; Cercopithecidae
Description: lncRNA (ENSPTEG00000021099.1)
Source: RNAcentral
AUGUUUAUCGAGAAUAUACAAUAUAGUGACAAUAAAUAUAUUAUUGGAAAUAAUUCGUUUAAUAAAAAUGCUUCAUAUAUCUUCAAUACGGAAAAAAAAAGAAAAAAAAAAAACUCCAAAGGUUUAUUAAUAAAUACAGAACAACAUGUUAGCGAUGAUUACUCAUAUGAAAUAACUAGAAAAUCAUCUUUGGGUUUAUACAAUGAUACAGAUAUGUAUAAUCAUUAUUAUCAUACCAGUAGUGAUAACAUUAUGAUAGAAACAAUUAGGAACAAUUAUAACACUAAUAUUACUCUUAACACUUCUGAUUCGAAAAAAAUAGAUCAUUAUUAUUUACUUGAAAAAGAUAAAAACAGGAAUAAUAGUAUUACUGGUGUUAAUGAUAUUAAAAAGAAGCACAAUAAAAGUAGUGGUAGUAUUAGUAGUAGUAAUUAUAAUAGUGUUAACUACAAUAACGACAUCAACAAUGUUACCCCACCAGAUAUAAUGCACUUCUUUUGUUCCAAUGAUCCUAUAUAUACAACAUCACCUAACGUAUCUAUAUAUUCAUAUACAGAUAACGUUUCAAAAAAAAGAAAAAAAAAAAAAUAUAUAUAUGACAGUAUUACUGAAAAUGGUCAAAUUUUAAAUAAAAAUGGUUUAAAUAAAAAUGGUUUAAAUAUAAAUGGUUUAAAAAAAAUAAAAGAAAUAAAUAAAAACAAAUUGUAUUUUGAUAAGAUAUCAUCUUCUAAUCAAACAUCUGACACUAUCCAUAAUUAUAACAAUAUUAAUCAAAUGUUUUAUUACAAUAUGCAUGGUAAUAGUUAUGAUAAAGAAAAAAUAAAAAAUGUUAUGAAUAGUAACAGUGACAUGGGGAAAUUGUUUAAUAUACUAAAUUCUCCUAUUUGGUCAACGUAUAAAUUUAAUAACAACAGUAGUAGUAGAUGUAAUAGCUGGGACAGUAGUAGUAAACGCAAAGCUAAUUCCUGCUGUGAUUUUUCUAAAAAAAAUAAUAAAACAAUCGAAGACAGUAAUAACCACAUAAAAAAUUAUUUAUCUGAUAGUAAUCUAGAAAUAAAAAAAUAUAAAAAAAUAAUAUAUGAAAGAAAUCGUAAAUAUUAUGACAAAAUAAAAAAAGUAUACAAAUUUUUACAUUAUAAUAUGGAUAAUAAUAUGGAUAAUAAUAUGGAUAAUAACAUAGAUAAUGUGGAUAAUAACAUGGAUAAUGUGGAUAAUAACAUGGAUAAUGUGGAUAAUAAUAUGGAUAAUGUGACCAAUAAUAACAUGGAUAAUGUGGCCAAUAAUAAUAAUAAUAAUAAUAAUGAAAAUUACAAAUUGGGUGAUGACAAUGACUAUAAAUUAGAUUAUUCUGUAAAUAAUGAACCUAUAAAUAGUACUUAUGAUUUUAUUUAUAACGAACAUAAUGUUUAUACGAAUCAAAAUAUACAUUAUUCCCCCAAUUAUUAUCAUAAAAAUCGGUUAAAUAUGGUAGACUCAAUUGAUGAUGGAAAAGACCAAAAAAAAAGAGGGAGAAAAAAACGAAAAAUGGAACUUCUUCAUAUGAACAAUUUUUAUAACAAUAAUUAUAAUAAGGUACUACCAUAUAAUAACAAUUCUAAGGGUUAUAUAAAAUAUUAUAAUAAUAUAAUAGAAAAUGGUAAUAACAAUAUUAUGAAUAUUUUAAACAAUGAUAAAAAUCCAUACAGUCACGACAAUGGUAAUAACAAUGACAACAGUAAUGACAAUGACAACAUUAAUGACAAUAACAACAGUAAUGACAAUGACAACAGUAAUGACAAUAACAACAGUAAUGACAAUAACAACAGUAAUGACAAUGACAACAGUAAUNNNNNNNNNNGUAAUGACAAUAACAACAGUAAUGACAAUGACAACAGUAAUGACAAUGACAACAGUAAUGACAAAAAUAACAGUAAUGACAAAAAUAAUGACAUAAACUAUUAUAAAGAAUAUGAAAUAAAUAAUAGGUAUAAAUACAAUGGAAAUAGUAAUGAAGCUAAUGAUGAUUGGGAAAAUAACAAAAAUAACAGUAUGCCGAUGUAUAAUACAUUUUUUGGUAAUAAUGAUCCUAGUGUACAUUAUACAGACAAUAGUGAUAAGCAUAGAUUUAUUAGCAGUAUGUGUAAACAAGAAAUAAAAACAGGCACUAGUGCCAAGAGUUUUACUCAUAUUGACUAUUACAACAAAACAAAUGAACAUUGGAAGAAAAAAAAAAAAAAAAAAGAUAAAGACAGGGACAGAGAUAGAGAUAGAGACAAAAACAGAGACAACGACUUUAACAGUGAAAAUUCUAACUGGUCUAACGAAACAUCAAAUAGUGAUAUUAAUGAUAUAAAUCAAAUAAAUUAUUCAAAUGAUUAUGAAGAAAUAAAAAACUAUUUUAAUGAUGAAAAAAAAUAUAAUUUAUUAAAUGGUCACAUGUCUAGUAUGACAAACGGUGAAGAAAAUAAUUUUCCUCAACACGUUAAUGGUAAUGUAUACUAUGACAAUGAAUAUUAUGGCAAUGAAUAUUAUGGCAAUGAAAUUUAUGGUAAUGAAAUUUAUGGUAAUGAAUAUUAUGAUAGUACAUAUGAUGAAAAAAUUUCAUUUAAUAAUAAAUAUCUUAAUAAUAGUGAAUAUAAUGAUAAAAAACAGUAUAACUGUUGUUAUAGCAAUUAUAAUGGUAGUAUCUUAAAUUAUCCUUAUUCAAUACAAAAACUAAUGACAACUUUACCAUCUUACAACAUAAGCAACGAAAAUAGUAAUGAACUAAAUGGAUAUAUUAGUCCACUUAAAAAUAAUACACAUAAAGAGGUUGAUAAUAAAUAUGUUAUAAAACAGAAUUAUUAUGAUGGAGAUAUUAGUACAAAUAGCACAGACGUAAUUUUAGACCAACAUACUAACAUGAUUAAAUAUUUAUCUUACGAUAAUAAAAAUUAUAAAAAUACUAGUAACUAUAAAUAUAUAAACAAAAAUCAAAACGUCAACAGUGAUAUGAACGGCAACAGUAAUAUUAAUGUUAGUUAUCCAAAAGGGAAAAUGUCAUUAUACUUACAAAAUAAUAUUAAAAAAUCAGAAAAAAUUAAAGAAAAACUUAAAAAAAAAUUUAAAGAAAAACUUAAAGAAAAAUAUAAAGAAAAAUAUAAAGAAAAAUAUAAAAAUCAGAUUGGUAUUAACAACAUUGGUUCUGAUGAAUAUGUUACAUUAGAAAUGGAUUAUAAGCAAAGUACAAAUAUUAUAAAAAAAAUAAUUAAAAAUCAAUGUAAACAGCUCAGUCGUGGUAGUAAUGCAAGUACUAGUAGUAAUAGCAGUAGAACUGAUAGUAACAAUGAUGAAACAUAUAAUUAUACAAAUAGUAUACUAUUACGUAAUAAUAAAAAUAAUAAAAGUGGUAAAAAUAAUGAAAACCAUCAAAAUAAGCUUUUAAAACUGACUAUGCUUAAUUCGAAAAAUUUAGAAAAACAUAUAUUAAGUAAUCGAUUAAUCAUAUAUUCACGAGAUAUGCCCUUAGGAUUUAAUGUUGAUGAAAUAAACCCAAAUAGUAUAAUUUUUAAUAUAAACGACGAAAAUGGGGGGUUUACAAAUAAUAACAAUACCUAUGCUAAUGACUCCUAUAGAAAUGGUAAUUGCAAUAAUACGUAUAGUAAUUCAUAUAGUAACACUUAUAGUAACACAUAUAGUAAUACAUAUGGUAAUAUAUAUGAUAACAUUCAUACAAGCUUAUAUAAUAAUAACACCAACAAUAAAACACAUAACACAUGUAACACAAGUAAUGGUAACAAUAGCAGUUACAAAAAUAACAGUGGCAAAAAUAGCAGUUACAAAAGUAACAUUGUUGGUCAUACUAAUAAUACUAACAAUUACCAUAAUAACAGAAGCAAAAAAAAUAACCUUAACAAUCGCAACAAAGAUAUAAAUAAUAACGAUCUAAGAAAUAAUAAUAAUAAUUAUAUUUAUUUUAAGUAUGUUCAUAAUAUGAAUUCUGAUGAAAUUAAUAAUAAUAAUAAUAAUAAUAAUAAUAAUAAUAAACAAAAUUCAAAUAAAACAAAAAAGGUAGCUUCAUAUCUUUUAUCAUUUGAUUAUAAAAAAAUAAUCGAUGAAGUUGGUCUAUUUAAUAAAACAUUACAACACCAAAUACCAAACAUACAGUAUAAUUUUAAAAAAUACAUUGAUCAGCCUGUUAAUGGAAAUUUAGAUGAAUAUAUAAGUUUGGAUGAUCAUAUAAACUUCGACGAACGUAUAAGUGAAGAUGAGCAUGUAAGUGAAGAUGAGCAUGUAAGUGAUGACGGACAUACAAGUAAUGACGCACAUACAAGUGACACCUUUAAAACAUAUCGUAAAAACGAUGCAUACAAAAAAAGUAAAAAAAUAGAUUUACGAUAUACAAAAUAUACAGAUGAUAAAAACCGAUUACAAAAAAAUGUAAAUAUAAUUGACAAACAGUAUUAUAAACAAGAAAAUAAAAAUAAACAAAAAAAUAAUUUAUUCAAACAAGAACAAAACUAUGAUCAUAAUUUUGUUACAAAUUCUAAAAAAAUUAAUGCUAAUAAAAUAAAUAAUAAUACACAUGUAAAUAAUGAUUUGAGAGAGGUUUUAUCAAAUGAAGAAAGUGAUAGGAAUAAAGACGUUGAUGUUAUGGCUAAAUGUAGGGGAAUAAAGGUAGAUAGACAUACGGAUUAUUCUGAUCCUAGUGAUGGUCUUACUACUAGUUUUAAUGAAAAUGAAAGCAGUAAAGAAAAAUAUUUUUGUAAAGAUAGCAACAUUUUGGGUACUAACAUAAAGGAAGCUAAAAACCUAAACAUAACCAAUCUGUUAAAUACAAACACAAACGAUUUCUUAAUAGGACAUUAUACAAAAAUAACUACUGAUAAUAAUAAAUAUCAAGAAUUUAUAAAAGUCGACAAAAAAAUGAAUAAUAAACGAAAUAUUAUUCAUCAGGUUAAUAACAAAGAGGAUAAUAGUAUAAAAAAAAAACAAAUAAGAAAAAAAACACCAAUAACAACAUCAAUAUCAACAACAGCAACAACAGCAACAACAGCAACAACAGUAAUAAGUGAUAUAGUAAAAAAUGAAGCAGGACCCACUAAAUUAGAUCCAAAUUAUAAAAUAUUACCAACAGUACAGACAGACGAAUCAAAUUAUAUUAUAAAAAGUUUUUUAUCUACACAGCCAUUACAAGAAAUUAAUAAAAACGAUGUUACUCAUGAUAGUAAUUGUAUUACUGAUGAUAAUAACAGUAAUGAUUUUUAUGUAAUUCCCAAGUGUUCAAAUGUAAUUGUAAAUGAAGAAAACACGGCCACUAACGGUAGUAGUAAUAGUAGUAAUAGUAGUAUUAGUAAGAGUAAAAGUAGGAGUAAAAGUAGGAGU